UUCGCCUUCCUUUCUCACUCUCCCCUCCCGUCGCUGUCACGCCGCCUCCUUCUGUUUGGUUCUUACCUUGCAAUCUAAGUCAGCGCAACUCCUCUCCUCUUUACCUCCCCGUCUCCUAUCCCCCGGCCUCGGCCCUGGCCUCGACCUGUUUCGAGGGAUGACAUUUCUAUCAGCAUAUGAAUGCUGUCACUGUGACGUCACCUCCUUCUGUUUGGUUUUUACCUCGCAAUCUAAGUCAGCGCACCUCCUGUCCUUUAGCGCUUUCCAUCCCCGAUUCUCCGGCCUCGACCUCUUUUUGGGGGAUGAUGUUCCUAACAGCAUAUGGAAAGCUCAUCCGAGCCCAUCGCAAAGUUUGCGAUAAUCAAUGUCCUCAGCCGGGGCCCGAGCGCCAAAGAUUUAAUUCAUGCUGUUAAUAAACUUUCUAAUUGCUUCCCUUUUCUCCGUCUGAGUCUCUCCAGAUUGAAAUGAUAUCAGACCAGUUUCAGAAAGUACAUAAUUAAUUUGAUGCUUUGAGGUGUGACCUCUGACCUCUGUGUUGUUCCCUCCUGCAGAUCCGGUCUCAGUCAAAGCUAAAGCUGGAGCAGUCGUCACUCUGCCGUGUAAAUUUGCUGGGGCCAAAGCUGUUGUCCUGGCAGAGUGGAGCAGACCCGACCAGACCUUGGCGCCGGUUCUUCUUUACAGGAACAAGAAGGUGGAUGGCAAUCAGCUGGCUGCCUAUAAGGGCCGCACGUCUCUGCUGGCCGCCGAGAAAGGAGACCUGUCUCUGGUGCUGAAGAAAGUGGUGGGCAGAGACACCGGAAAGUAUGAGUGCCGAGUUUUACUGGAAGGAUCGGGAGACGAAAAAGAAGAGCUAGAGAUAGAGCAGCCCCGGUCAGGCGGCAGAGGAGGAAGAAGUGGAACCUUUCUGACAAGUGACCCAAUCAGCAUCGUUAUGCUGAAAGUGGAAGGUGGGCCCAGGCCCGGAGGAGACGUGCAGCUGAGACCCAACACCGUCCUGCCAGUGGGCCUGCUGGCUCUGCUGGCUCUGAUCGCUGGACUGUUGUGAUCCGCUGCAACAUCCGCAGGUUCAUCCUGCAGGGGGCGCCGAGGCUCUGAAAUAUUAAACGUUAACUUUAAUCUGA
This is a long non-coding RNA of Xiphophorus hellerii (green swordtail), 1121 nucleotides long. RefSeq lists it as uncharacterized. The record is from RefSeq and is a predicted model, not a curated record. The transcript is spliced from 2 exons. Lineage: Eukaryota; Metazoa; Chordata; Actinopteri; Cyprinodontiformes; Poeciliidae.